CAGUCGCCGCGGGAACACGGAGGGGGCUAGCGUUGUUCGGAAUUACUGGGCGUAAAGCGCACGUAGGCGGCUUGGUAAGUUAGAGGUGAAAGCCUGGAGCUCAACUCCAGAAUUGCCUUUAAGACUGCCGAGCUAGCAGGUGAGAGAGGUAAGUGGAAUUCCGAGUGUAGAGGUGAAAUUCGUAGAUAUUCGGAAGAACACCAGUGGCGAAGGCGGCUUACUGGCUCAUACUGGACGCUGAGGUGCGAAAGCGUGGGGAGCAAACAGGAUUAGAUACCCGAGUAGUCCCUGUCUCUUAUAA
RNAcentral lists this ribosomal RNA (301 nucleotides) under uncultured bacterium. RNAcentral describes it as "partial 16S ribosomal RNA". It matches the Rfam family "Bacterial small subunit ribosomal RNA", at positions 509 to 809 of the family's 1533-position model. The record is from RNAcentral.